Molecule: ribosomal RNA, 468 nt
Filed under: uncultured bacterium
Lineage: Bacteria
Description: partial 16S ribosomal RNA
Rfam family: Bacterial small subunit ribosomal RNA
Source: RNAcentral
GACGAACGCUGGCGGCGUGCUUAACACAUGCCAGUCGAACGGAAAGGCCCUGCUUUUGUUGGUUGCUCGAGUGGCGAACGGGUGUGUAACACGUGUGUAACCUGCCCUUGACUUUGGGAUAACUUCACGAAACUCGGGCUCAUACCGGAUAUGAUCUCCUGCUGCAUGGUGUGGGUUGGAAAGUUUCGGCGGUUGUGGAUGGACUCGCGGCUUAUGAGCUUGUUGGUGGGGUAGUGGCUUACCAAGGCUUUGACGGGUAGCCGGCCUGAGAGGGUUACCGGCCACAUGGGGACUGAGAUACGGCGCAGAAGCGUACGGGAGGCAGCAGGGGGGAAUAUGGCAGAAUGGGCGGAAGCCUGAUGCAGAAACGCCGCGUGCGGGAUGACGGCCUUCGGGUUGUAAACCGCUUUCGCCUGUGACGAAGCGUGAGUGACGGUAAUGGGUAAAGAAGCACCGGCUAACUACGUG